AUGGGUGUGCACGGGAUGCAACAGAAGGUGGUGGUCACACACACAGGGUUACAGCCUCGAGCAGUAGCUCAAGAAGCAGAGCAGCGGCUUGGAGUCGAAGGAACCUUGGCCGGAGCAGGAGGCGGGGCACCCAGGCAGCGGCAAAACCAUGGCCAAGGUGGAGCAAUGGACGUAUAUGUUCGGAGCUGCAAGGAGGCCAGCACGAGAGAAGGCCGGCAAGCUGCUCGUUCCCGAGGCCCGUCGUUGGAGGCGCAGCAGAGGAGGAACGCGGGCAGCAAGGCAAUGGCAACAGAGCAACCGCGGGAUGCCGAGGGGAACGACAAGGCAGGUAGGGCUUGA
This 339-nucleotide ribosomal RNA is filed under the name Triticum aestivum (bread wheat). RNAcentral's name for it is "partial small subunit ribosomal RNA". Lineage: Eukaryota; Viridiplantae; Streptophyta; Magnoliopsida; Poales; Poaceae. The record is from RNAcentral.